AGAAUAAAAAAAGUAAACAAGUAAUCAAAAACAAAACAUUAGAAGAAUGUUUAUUUACAUGGUUUCUGUAAGUAAGAGCGGUAGGACAACCAAUUUCAAGACCAAUUUUACAGGCAAAAGCAUUGCAAUUAAAUAAUUUACUCAAAGGUCCUUCCAAUUUUAAAGCAAGUAACGGUUGGUUGACCAAUUUCAAAAACAGAUACAAUAUUCGACAAUUAAGGAUAUCAGGAGAAAUUCUAUCCAACAAUGCCGAAGCUGCAAAAAUAUUUCACGAUGAAAUUAUAGAAAAAAUUAAAACAGAAAAUCUUCUUUUAGAAAAUGUAAUGCUGACGAAAUUGGCAUUUAUUGGAAAUCAUUUCCAAACGUAACUUUAGCAUCUCAAGAGGAAAAAACAGCUCCCGGAAGAAAAAAUUACAAAGAUCAUGUAACAGCUUUAUUUUGCUCCAAUGCUAACCGGAUUUUGCUCCUAACCGGAACUAACAAAAUAAAGUUGUGCAUAAUUGGAAAAUUUGCUAAACCAAGAUCAAUAAAAAAUAUUAAAAAUUUACCGGUUGUAUAUAAAUCGCAAAAAAGUGGUUGGAUGAGUCAAAAUCUGUUUAAAGAAUGGUAUCAAGACAACUUUAUUCCAGAAAUAUUAGAGCACCAAAGAAAAAAUUAUAUCAGCGGUAAAGUAUUAUUGCUGUUGGAUAAUGACCCGUCCCAUCCGCCUGUUGAUAUGCUAAACAACAUAAAUAAAAAUUUUGAGGUAAAAUAUUUAUCACCAAAUGUAACAGCAAUUAUACAACCUCUGGACCAGGGUGUUAUUUCGAUUACCAAAAAGUUGUACAAAAAACAAUUUUUAUUGAAAUUGGUAUUAGAAGAAAAGCAACUCAACAUACAGAUUUUUUGAAAACUUUUACUCUUAGAGAUUGCAUCACUCUAAUUAGUACUGCUUGGAACAGUAUUCGGUCAUCAACUUUAAAUAAAGUAUGGAAACCCAUGUUGGGAGAUUUACUUUCAGUUCACACAUACAAUGAUUCUACAAGUGAAAAAAAUAAUGAAUCUGUUGAAGAAUUUAUUGAAGAAUGUGCUAAACUUUAUAACUGUACUUCUCAAUUAAUACAAAAUAUUAUUGAAGUUUCUGAAAUAAAAAAAUGGAUUGCUACAGAAGAAGGCGAUGAAGGUUGGACAUGUUUAACAGAUAUAGAAAUAAUUGAAAAUAUUGUAAAUCGCAAUGAAGAAUUUGCCAAAACUGAAAACAUUAAAGAUAAUUUUCCCGGAGAAAGUAAUAAUCAACCAUUGACAAAAAUAUCUCAUAUACAAGCUUAUCAAUAUUUUCAAGUUAUUAAGAAUUGGUGUGAGCAACAAAAUGAGUGCGAAAUUACUGAUAUUCUCUUGAUAAACAAAUUAUUAGAAAUUGCAGC
Long non-coding RNA from Pseudomyrmex gracilis, 1403 nucleotides. RefSeq lists it as uncharacterized. The record is from RefSeq and is a predicted model, not a curated record. The transcript is spliced from 3 exons. NCBI's taxonomy places the organism in Eukaryota, Metazoa, Arthropoda, Insecta, Hymenoptera, Formicidae.